CUUCAAUUCUCAAAAGAAAAAGUUCUUCUGUUGCUAUAUGUGGUUCAACGAGUAAGUCACGUUGACCCUUCCUCGUGACCCAAUGAUUUAAUCACAUGGAUCAUGCGACGCUGGAAAAGGCAGUUAAAGCUUCAACUUUCAAAAUUUACCACAAAAUUCAUCCUUCCAUCCACUUGGUUUAUUAUUUCGGUUAGAUUGAAAUUCAGAAAUUUUUUGAAGGACAAAUGGUGUGCGAUUAUUUUGGUUUUGUUUUUCUUUACCAAAUCUAUCUUGAUGAAGUGACAAGCAUUCGAGGUGUGCUAAAGGAUUUAUAAUUGGAAUGAUUGAAUUCUUGUGCUGAAGAUGAACUUUAGAUAGAGAAAACAUUGGAGGGGGGAUGGUUUUUGUUCUCGGACUCGAAAGUGAAUGAUUUGAAAGGACGGUGAUGGAAAUUCUUGGUGGUGGUGGUGGUGGAGGAGGAGGAGGAGGGAAGGAUUAAGACAGCGCGAUGGUUGAUCAUCAAGUAUUCUGGAUGUUGAUAGCCGACCCGGGAUUGAUUUGUGGAAAUUAACUGAUACCUGUACCAGCAUGUAAAAUGAAGAACGUCCUGGGAAACGCUGAGGCAGAGGAAAUAGAAAGGGACACCGGGAUUAAGAUUUUAUUUAUUUAUGCUCGGAUUGUAGAACAAAAAAAGAAUGCGCUGAACAUUUGAAGAGCAAUGUUUGCAACCAUUGGAGCAAAGGAAGAGGCCAGCUGAAGCAGAGAAUCCCUAAAAGAUAACUUGAAGUACUGGGGAGGGAUCGAGGCUGAACUUCCAAGAUUAAGGUGUUUACCAAUCUUCAUUAUUAUGGACUCGAACCAACUCUGACUCAAGGAAGAUUUGGAUGAAGAGCAGGGAAGAUGUGUGAAAACUAUGAGGGUUUCUUUUGUGCUCCUUCGGAGGCUUGACCUUUUUGUUUAAAUGUGAUCGAUCACAAAGUACAGAGUCAUGUAAUUCGAUCAAAGUAAAUGUGAUCCCGUGUAAAGUGGAUUUAUGUGAUGUCCAAUUGGUGAAAUGUUGAAGAAUUUGAUGGGCGAUUGGCUUGUUUGAUACUAA
This is a long non-coding RNA of Populus trichocarpa (black cottonwood), 1075 nucleotides long. RefSeq lists it as uncharacterized. NCBI's taxonomy places the organism in Eukaryota, Viridiplantae, Streptophyta, Magnoliopsida, Malpighiales, Salicaceae. The record is from RefSeq and is a predicted model, not a curated record. The transcript is spliced from 3 exons.